Molecule: ribosomal RNA, 834 nt
Filed under: uncultured Comamonadaceae bacterium
Lineage: Bacteria; Pseudomonadati; Pseudomonadota; Betaproteobacteria; Burkholderiales; Comamonadaceae
Description: bacterial SSU rRNA
Rfam family: Bacterial small subunit ribosomal RNA
Source: RNAcentral
GUCUGGUGGCGAGUGGCCCCUACUGAGAGUAAUAUAUCGGAACGUGCCCAGUCGUGGCUGAUAACGUAGUGAAAAUUACGCUAAUACCGCAUACGAUCUAUGGAUGAAAGCGGGGGAUCGCAAGACCUCGCGCGAUUGGAGCGGCCGAUAUCAGAUUAGGUAGUUGGUGGGGUAAAGGCUCACCAAGCCAACGAUCUGUAGCUGGUCUGAGAGGACGACCAGCCACACUGGAACUGAGACACGGUCCAGACUCCUACGGGAGGCAGCAGUGGGGAAUUUUGGACAAUGGACGCAAGUCUGAUCCAGCCAUUCCGCGUGCAGGACGAAGGCCUUCGGGUUGUAAACUGCUUUUGUACAGAACGAAAAGGUCUCUAUUAAUACUAGGGGCUCAUGACGGUACUGUAAGAAUAAGCACCGGCUAACUACGUGCCAGCAGCCGCGGUAAUACGUAGGGUGCAAGCGUUAAUCGGAAUUACUGGGCGUAAAGCGUGCGCAGGCGGUUAUGUAAGACAGAGGUGAAAUCCCCGGGCUCAACCUGGGAACUGCCUUUGUGACUGCAUAGCUGGAGUGCGGCAGAGGGGGAUGGAAUUCCGCGUGUAGCAGUGAAAUGCGUAGAUAUGCGGAGGAACACCGAUGGCGAAGGCAAUCCCCUGGGCCUGCACUGACGCUCAUGCACGAAAGCGUGGGGAGCAAACAGGAUUAGAUACCCUGGUAGUCCACGCCCUAAACGAUGUCAACUGGUUGUUGGGUCUUCACUGACUCAGUAACGAAGCUAACGCGUGAAGUUGACCGCCUGGGGAGUACGGCCGCAAGGUUGAAACUCAAAGGAAUUGA